RNAcentral lists this ribosomal RNA (255 nucleotides) under uncultured bacterium. RNAcentral's name for it is "partial 16S ribosomal RNA". It matches the Rfam family "Bacterial small subunit ribosomal RNA", at positions 524 to 777 of the family's 1533-position model. The record is from RNAcentral.
UACGGGGGGAGCAAGCGUUGUUCGGAUUUACUGGGCGUAAAGGGCGCGUAGGCGGUCAGCACAAGUCAGUUGUGAAAUCUCCGGGCUUAACCCGGAAAGGUCAACUGAUACUGUGCGACUAGAGUGCGGAAGGGGCAACUGGAAUUCUCGGUGUAGCGGUGAAAUGCGUAGAUAUCGAGAGGAACACCUGCGGCGAAGGCGGGUUGCUGGGCCGACACUGACGCUGAUGCGCGAAAGCCAGGGGAGCGAAACGGG